Molecule: long non-coding RNA, 392 nt
Organism: Polypterus senegalus (gray bichir)
Lineage: Eukaryota; Metazoa; Chordata; Cladistia; Polypteriformes; Polypteridae
Exons: 4
Source: RefSeq, a predicted model, not a curated record
CACAAAAUUGAAGGCUCCUCUGAAAAAAUGAUGCAGAUUUACAUUAUUGCAAAGGCCCUGAGAAGCUUAACCACACCUGAAGCCUGACACUAUACAUCUUUUCAGCAGAGCAGCCAGCAUACCAUACCAAGAUGACACAGGUAAGUAUGCUUCCCACAGAGCAAUAAUAGAAAGACACCAGCAGCUGCUUGGAUAUGCUAGCCUUCCUCAGCAUCCUUAAGAAGUAGAGUCGCUUCUGUGACUUCUUCACCAAAGAUAAUGGGGUCUGGUUCUUUUUUCCAUUAAUUACUAAUGAGCUGGUCCAACACUGAAGUGGUUGCAGCCUUUCAUCAUUCAUUGUCAUCUGCCUGUUUUCUGGGGUGACGACCUGCGCCACCACCACCUGAUCAAAG